AGUAAAAUGGCUGAAUUAGGUGAUAGAUUGUAAAUUUAUUUAUAAAUUAAUUUUUUUUUUACUA
RNAcentral lists this transfer RNA (64 nucleotides) under Dendrocerus sp. ZJUH_2016009. RNAcentral describes it as "tRNA-Tyr". The record is from RNAcentral. Lineage: Eukaryota; Metazoa; Arthropoda; Insecta; Hymenoptera; Megaspilidae.